Molecule: ribosomal RNA, 497 nt
Filed under: uncultured bacterium
Lineage: Bacteria
Description: partial 16S ribosomal RNA
Rfam family: Bacterial small subunit ribosomal RNA
Source: RNAcentral
GAUGAACGCUGGCGGCGUGCCUAAUACAUGCAAGUCGAGCGAACGGACGAGAAGCUUGCUUCUCUGAUGUUAGCGGCGGACGGGUGCGUCACACGUGGAUAACCUACCUAUAAGACUGGGAUAACUUCGCGAAACCGUAGCUAAUACCGGAUAAUAUUUUGAACCUCAUUGUUCACAAGUGAAAGACGGUCUUGCUGUCACUUAUAGAUGGAUCCGCGCUGCAUUAGUUAGUUGGUAAGGUAACGGCUUACCAAGGCAACGAUGCAUACCCGACCUGAGAGGGUGAUCGGCCAGACUGGAACUGAGACACGGUCCAGACUCCUACGGGAGGACGCAGUAGGGAAUCUUACGCAAUGGGGGAAAGCCGGACAGUGCAACGCCGCGUGAGGGAUGAAGGUCCUCGGACCGGAAAGCGCUGUUAGCAGGGAAGAACAUAUGUGUAAGUAACUGUGCACAUCUUGACGGUACCUAAUCAGAAAGCCACGGCUAACUACGUG